RNAcentral lists this long non-coding RNA (16103 nucleotides) under Homo sapiens (human). Its description in RNAcentral is "non-protein coding lnc-GPR183-47:7". Lineage: Eukaryota; Metazoa; Chordata; Mammalia; Primates; Hominidae. The record is from RNAcentral.
AGCUGAGGUGGUUGCUGGGAGAGGUGGUUGCUGGGAGAGCUGUUCCGGCGCUCACGUUCCAAUUCCAAAUUACAAAUUCCGAUCUAGAGCUCCCACGCUUGGGGGCUGUGGAGCGCUCGCCAGCCGCUCCCCGUUUGCUGCUGGGUCUUACGAAGUUCUCAUAUCCAUCAUACAGUUUCUUUGUCACACUGUCCGCGGCACGCCAGUCCCUAUGACAGAAAGCACCUGCGGUCUGUCUGGAGGCGGAGUUGGUGGCGGAGAGAAAAAGUUCUGGAGACACCUGGUUGGGAGCAGGCUAAGGAAACAAAUGGGGAGGAAUUAGCCACAAAUCCUCAAAUAGACAGCUACUCAAAGGCAUCUUCACGGACAAUUUCCAAGCAUUGGAUGCAGUGGUGCAUUCUUGCAUUGGGCAGUGAUUGUGUGCACACAUCUCUUUAAGGGAGAGUGGAAAUGGGGUGAGGAGGAAAAUGGGAGUAGGAUAGAGUGUAGCGUUGACAUUUAUUUUCUUUAAAGGAAGACCCGAGCAUACCUGAGAGCUCAGUGAAGAAAGUAGUUCUGGCGAAUCGGAUUAAUAUGCACCACUGAAACUUGACCUUCGGCCGGCGCGGUGGCUCACGCCUGUAAUCCCAGCACUUUGGGAGGCCGAGAUGGGCGGAUCACGAGGUCAGAAGAUCGAGACCAUCCUGGCUAACACGGUGAAACCCCGUCUCUACUAAAAAUACAAAAAAAUUAGCCGAGCGUGGUGGCGGGCUCCUGUAGUCCCAGCUACUUGGGAGGCUGAGGCAGGAGAAUGGCGUGAACCCGGGAGGCGGAGCUUGCGGUAAGCCGAGAUCGCGCCACUGCACUCCAGCCUGGGCGACUGAGCACGACUCCGUCUCAAAAAAAAAAAAAAAAAAACAAAAAAAAAACUUGACCUUCAUUAUAUCUCACUGCCCUCAUCCCAAACAUUUCCUCUCCCAGUUUUCCAGGAAACGGCAUCGCUGCCCAUCUCUUUUCAGGCCCCAACCCUGGAGAAGAACCUAAAUUUCUCAUUUCCUCACUACCUACCUCCAGUCCUUCAGCAGGUCCCGUUGGUUGGGCUGCUAAACUAUGGGCUAAAUCCUUUCAGUACUUUCCAUGCCCACAGCUACCACUCUGGUCCAAGCCAAAUUCUUAGUUCCCCUGGACUUCUUACUGCAGUAGCCUCUCAGCUUCCACUCUUGGCAAAAUCAAUUUUAUAAAACCUUGAAAUCCCUUAAUACCACUCGUCUGCUUAAACCUCGGCAUCCCACAUUUACCACUAUCAGGAAGGAUCACGUUUGUUUGUUUGCUGUCUCAUUCCCCCAUUUAUAUGUGAAUUCCACGGGUAAGGGCCUGCUCCUACAUCCCACACCUCUACAUCCACAGAGCCUAGAGACCGCAGGCGCGGGGAAAGCACUCCACGACCAUCACUGGCCAGGCCACAAGAGUGCUGGAUCUAAAUUUGGAACCGGACUUUCAGAGCUGAAAUAAACCUGAGGUUUUCCAGGGGCUUUUAACCUCCUUUUACAGCCAAGGAUGCGCCUAAGAAAGGGGAGAGGCUUCCGUGACUUCCUGCAGUAACGCAGCCACUAGAGAUUGAGACUACAACGACUUGGGAGUCUAAAAGUCUGCAACCUUUUCCACUCCAGAGCUCAAUGUUUCCUCAAUCCCCCGGGAUCGGCAUCAGCAAAAACCCGGAGAAGCGGAGCCUUUCUCAAAGAAAAUGACCUCCAGACUCAUGCUACCAUCUCGACCGGUGCAAGUAUCACGCAUGCGCAGGGCCGGCCGCCCGGCCGCACCUCGCCAACUCCUACUCGGACACGUCAUCUAGGUCGGCCUGGGUCUGGUGGGAGGGGCCGGGGGCGGGGCUCGUACGCGGGGCGAAGUGGUCCCCCUACUUCCGGAUCCGGCCUCACCUGGCCAACGCCUCAUUCGGGGUUCCUUGGUUACGUGGCUGCGGUGUCUACCCGGUGCUGGGGCGUGGCGGAGAGAGACCGCCCCGCCCUCCACGCAGGCCACAAAAUGGAGGCCCUGCCCUGUGGGCUUUUGUGGCCUGGGCGCUGUCGUGCCGAAAGACGAAAGUGACAAUUCCAGUUGCAAACUGGAAAGAAAUGGAGUUUUUCCUUCAUUCUCCCCAUGAUCGUGACGGUCCUUUUCUCAAAGUACUAAUACUUUUAAUGGGACUGUAAAACUUGAGGGAUAUGACUCUCUCCUCUCCUCUGCUUCAGAUUGCAUUUGCCAACUCUGAUUUACCGCCAAUACUAUGGUGCUGUCAUAUUCAUAGAGACAGAAAGUAGAGCAGUGGUUGUAGAGAGAGUCUGCAGAAGGAGGGAUGGGGAUUUACUGUUUAAUGGCAUACGGUUUCAGUAUGGGUUGGUGAAAAAGUUGGGAUGAAUGGUGAUGACUGCACAACAAUGCAAAUAUGCUAAUGUCACAGAAGUGUACACUUAAAAAUGGUUAGACGGUAAGUUUUCUAUUAUGUAUAUUUUACCACAAUUUUUUUUUAAAUGCAACAGAGUCUCGCUGUUGCCUAGGCUGGAGUGCAGUGGCAGGAUCUCAGCUCACUGCAACCUCCGCCUUCCAGGUUCAAGCGAUUCUUGUGCCUCAGCCUCCCAAGUAACUGGGAUUACAGGUGCCAGCCACCACGCCCAGCUAAUUUUUGUAUGUUUAGUAGAGAUGGGGUUUCACCAUGUUGGCCAGGCUAGGCUGUUCUCGAACUCCUGAACUCAGGUGAUCCGCCUGCCUUGGUCUCCCCCAGUGCCGAGAUUACACGCGUGAGCCACCACGCCGGGCCCCACAGUUUUUUGUUUUUGUCUUUUAAAUUUUUUUUAACAGCAUUUGUGUCUUUUUUUCUUUUUCUUUUGUUUUUGAAACAGAAUCUCACUCUGUCACCAAGCUGGAGUGCAGUGGCGCCAUCUUGGCUCACUGCAACCUCUGACUCCCUGGUUCAAGCAAUUCUCCUGCCUCAGCCUCUCCAGUAGCUGGGGUUACAGGCACGCACCACCCCGCCCAGCUAAUUUUUGUAUUUUUAGUAGAGAUGGGGUUUCACCAUAUUGGCCAGGGUGGUCUCCAUCUCCUGACCCCGUGAUCCACCUUGCCUUCCCAAAGUGCUGGGAUUACAGGUGUGAGCCACUGCACCCAACCUAAAUGGCAUUUGUUUCUUCCACUCCUCUCUGCCAGAAUAAUUUGGACAGCCUUUUCUGAGUUUCCCAUGACGACUUCUGUAUAAGAUUGUCGGAUAUAGCAAAUAAAAGUACAGUAUACCCAGGUAAAUUUUAAUUUCAGAUGAUCAAUGAAUAAUUUUUUAGUAUAAGUACAUUCCAACUAUUACAUGGGACAUAAGGGUAUUUUAUCUGAUCACCCUACUUUUGUGUCAAGUUAAAAUUAUUAGCAAAAGUGCUUCCGUUUUUAGGAAGUGCACACUGUACUCUAGUAGUUAGGCAGGAGAACAGGGUCUGCGAGCAGGGAACCUAAGGCCGUUUCACACUGACUUCCUAGAGCCAUUUGGAAAGGAAAACCCUAACUUUCCACUCCUAAGUAACAAAAGGCCCAGAGGCCACUCCCUUUGCAAACCCCCACCUUUUCUGUGCCGCAGCUGGAAAAUUGAAAGUGCCUCUGAUUGGUUGCUUUCUGCAACUAAUCAGAUGUUUGCAUAGAGUGUAACUUUGUAACUUCACUUCAGCCUCUGAUUGGUUGCUGUCCCCAACCAAUCAGACUGAUUGUGGGCCAAGGCUUCGUUUGAAUAGAAGUGCAACUUUGUAACUUCACUUUAGCCUCUGAUUGCAGGCCACCACUUCAUUUACAUGGGGUGAGCACCAAGUAAGUGGCCAAUGGGAAACAUCUAGAGGGUAUUUGGACCCGAGAAGAUUCUGUAUCUGGGGCCCUUGAGCUGCUGCUCAGCCUGCUCCCACACUGUGAAGUGUACUUUCACUUUCAAUAAAUCUCUGCUUUCCUUGCUUCAUUCUUUCCUAGCUUUACUGUGCGUUUUGUCCAAUUAUUUGUUCAAAACGCCAAGAACCUGGACAACUUGCUGUCCGCAACCAAUCAGACUGAUUGUGGGCUGAAUCUUCAUUUGCAUGGAAGUGCAACUUUGUAACUUCACUUUAGCCUCUGAUUGCGGGCCACCACUUCAUUUACAUGAGGCAAACACCAAUGCGUUUUGUUCAAUUCUUUGUUCAAAACCCCAAGAAUCUGGACAACUUGCACUCAAGACCCUCUACGGGUUUGGCGAGCCAGUCUUUCAGUGGCUGUUUUCUAGUAGCUCCUUGGCAAUUGAGGGGAACUGGCUGGGACCACUCUCCAGUGCUGUCUGAAGGCCAAGGAGUGAACAGGGAUGGCUGCCCUGCCUUGAAGAGGGAAGGACUCUUUUCUAUCCUUUCCAGCUAUAGUCCCUGAUCCCUACAUGUGAUGCGGUUGGCAGCGGAAGCUCAUCCUGGGCGAACUCACACACUUUUCAGGAGACUUAAACCUUUUCUUAUGCUAAGUUCUUCCCUUCCCCUACUCAUCUGGCUAAAGGACAGACUAUGCAAAAAAGGUUAUACAAGUCAGAGGGUCUGAGCAUGUCGGAGGUGGUCUGUGUGGGGCAUGGGGUGGGGGGAAAAUUCAUGAAAGGCAAUUUAUUGCCUAAAUUUAAAGGGUUAAAGGGUUGCUUUAAGUGGGAUAGAAAAACCUUAAGGAAAGUUCAUAGUAGGUCCUCAGUGGUGGAGUGUUGUGGGAAGUCAGGGACCCUGAAUGAAGGGACUGGCUGAAGCCAUGGCAGAAGAACAUAAACUGUGAAGAUUUCAUGGACAUUUAUUAGUUCCCCAAAUUAACACUUUUAUAAUUUCUUACGCCUGUCUUUACUGCAAUCUCUGAACAUAAAUUGUGAAGAUUUUAUGGACAUUUAUCACUUCCCCAAUCAAUACUCUUGUGAUUUCCUAUGCCUGUCUUUACUUUAAUCUCUUAAUCCCGUCAUCUUCGUAAGCUGAGGAGGAUGUAAGUCGCCUCAGGACCCUGUGAUGAUUGUGUUAACUGCACAAAUUGUUUGUAGAGCAUGUGUGUUUGAACAGUAUCAAAUCUGGGCACCUUAAGAACAGGAUAACAGCAACGUUCAAGGAACAAGGGAGAUAAUCUUAACGUCUGGCUGCCUAUGGGCCGGGCAGAACAGAGCCAUAUUUCUCUUCUUUCUAAAGCAAAUAGGAGAAAUAUCGCUGAAUUCUUUUUCUCAGCAAGGAACAGCCCUGAGACAGAGAAUGUGUGCCUAGGGGUAGUCCUCCAAAAUGGCCACUCUGGGGACGGCUGUCUUUUAUGGUCGUAGAUAAGGGAAGAAAUAAGCCCCGGACUCCCAUAGUGCUCCCAGGCUUAUUAGGACGAGGAAAUUCCCACCUAAUAAAUUUUGGUCAGACUGGUUGUCUGCUCUCAAACCCUGUCUCCUGAUAAGAUGUUAUCAAUGACAAUGCGUGCCCGAAACUUCACUCGCAAUUUUAAUUUCGCCCUGGUCAUGUGGUCCCGUGAUCUCACCCUGCCUCCAUUUGCCUUGUGAUAUUUUAUUACCUUGUGAAGCAUGUGAUCUCUGUGACCCACACCCUAUUCAUACACUCCCUCCCCUUUUGGAAAUCACUAAUAAAAACUUGCUGGUUUUACGGCUUAGGGGGCAUCACAGAACCUGCCGACAUAUGAUGUCUCCCCUGGACACCCAGCUUUAAAAUUUCUCUCUUUGUACUCUUUCCCUUUAUUUCUCAGACCAGCCAACACUUAGGGAAAAUAGAAAAGGACCCACGUGAAAUAUCAGGGGCUGAAUUUCCCCCGAUAGUGGAGGGAACCAUCCCAAAGCAGUGCCAGCCCCCAUCUAAGGUCAGAGACAUCUGACAGACUAAAUCAGGGCCCUAAAGUAGGGACGCCCCUGGGGACCCCAGUCUGGGUUCAGAAUUUUUUCAGGGGGAUGCCCUGGGUAAAGUUUGGGUCACCUAAUGGGCCCUCUACUUUUCAAAGUCCUCUUCUCUGUUCCAGACCACUAUGGGCAACUCUCUAUCUAUUCGACCUGAUUCCACUAUGGGCAAUUCUACACCUGUUCCACCGGAUUCCUCACUUGGCUACAUCAUCCACCAUUGGAAUCAAUUUGACCCUGACACUCUAAAGGGAAAAUGUAUAAUUUUUUUCUGUAAUACUGUUUGGCCCCAUUAUGAGCUGCCCAGCCCCCAGCAAUGGGCAGUCAGUGGUAGCCUUAAUUAUGACACCAUCCUGCAAUUAGACCUACUUUGCAAGAGGCUGGGAAGAUGGUCAGAAGUCCCAUAUGUACAGGCUUUUAUCAAAAUAUCAAAAACCUAACAAUCUGUGAAACUCCCAGAACCCACCCCCCAAAGGAAAGUACUAAGGCAGAACUAGAUAUUAUAGAUGACCCUCUUUUACAAGGGCUAGCUGUCUCUCAGGGUGAACAGCAACCAUCCCCAUAAAGCCCCUUGCCAAGUGCUCCUGAGGCUAAAACCCAGGAGCAAACACCAGGGACCCUACUAAAUCCCCCUCACACUUGGAGAGGAAUGCCAUAUUCAAUUCUCUCUCCAGCCCUGCUACCUCUUAGGGAAGUAGCAGGAACCAAGGGGCCAGUCCUAGUGCAGGCCCCCUUCUCUAUAAUUUAUACAUACAAUAUAAGGAAAAGCUAGGAAACUAUUCUGAGAAUCCUAAGAAACUUGCAGAUGGGUUCCAGCGUUUGACCUUAGCCUCUGAUCUAUCAUGGAGAGAUGUUCAAUUCAUUCUAGCAACCUGUUACACACCCUCAGAAAAGGAAUGAAUCUCUGAGGCCGCCCACCUGCAAGCAAUGAAUUAUUUGCCCAAAACUCUCAGGGCAAUCAUCCCGGCCCAGACACAGUUCCCACUAUUGAUCAUAAUUGGGACUAUAACACUCCUGAGGAAAUGAACAACCGGGCUAAAUUUCUUGAGGCUCUCCUUGGAGGAAUGAGAAAGGGAAUAACUAAAGGCAGUAAAUUAUGAUAAAGUAAGGGAGGUUACACAAGGCAAGGAGGAAAAUCCAGCCAUGUUUUAUGGCAGGCUGGAGGGAGACUUUAAAAAAUAUACUAAUCUGGACCCUUCCUCUCCCGAAGGCAAAAUAUUAAUAGCACAGCAUUUCAUUAGCCAAUCUGCCCCAGACAUUAGAGAUAAGCUCCAAAAGCUACAGAUGGGGCCACAAACUAAUCAAAAUCAGCUUACUUAUAUCACAUUUAUGGUGUAUAACAAUCGUGACCUGAAGGAAGGAAAAAGGGAACAGAGUAAACAAAAUGGCAAGCCAAAAGUAUGGCAGCCAUCAUUGACGAUGCCCUGAAUGUACAAAGAGUGUCUAAGGGAAACCCGAAGGGCCAUAAAGAUAAUGCCAGCAAAGGCUCUUGCUUCAAAUGCAAGAAAAGAAGACAUUGGGCAAAGGAUUGUGCUAAGUCCCCGCCAGGCCCCUGCCGUCAAUGCAAGGGCACCAGUCAUGACCCCUGGCACUGGAGAAUUGACUGCCCAUGUUCCCACUGAGGGGCUCAGUCAGUCAAAACUCUAGCAGUGCAAAAGGAGGAAUUAGAUGAAGACUGAAGGGGCCUGAGGUCUUCCUCACUGCCCCUGUUCAGGAACAUUGUAAUUACUACUGAGGAGCCCCAGGUAACUCUGGACGUCAUGGGCACCCAAAUUCAGUUUCUUUUUGAUGCAGGAGCAAAUUACUCUGUUCUUACUGCUUAUGCAGUAAGGCGUUCCUCCCAGUCCACAAGUGUUAUGGGAAUAGAAUGGAAGCCACAAACGAGUUUUUAUUUUAUUUUAUUUUAUUUUAUUUUACUUUAAGUUCUGGGAUACAUAUGCAGAAUGUGCAGGUUUGUUACAUAGGUAUACAUGUGCCAUGGUGGUUUGCUGCACCUAUCGACCCAUCAUCUAGGUUUUAAGUCCCACAUGGAUUAGGUAUUUGUCCUAAUGCUCUUCCUCCCCUUGCCCCCAACCCCCCAACAGGCCUUGGUGUGUGAUGUUCCCCUCCCUGUGUCCAUGUGUUCUCAUUGUUCACCUCCCACUUAUUAGUGAGAACAUGCGGUGUUUGGUUUUCUGUUCCUGUGUUAGUUUGCUGAGAAUGAUGGUUUCCAGCUUCAUCCAUGUUCCUGCAAAGGACAUGAACUCAUUCUUUUUUAUGGUUGCGUAGUAUUCCAUGGUGUAUAUGUGCCAUAUUUUCUUUAUCCCGUCUAUCACUGAUGGGCAUUUGGGUUGGUUCCAAGUCUUUGCCAUGGUAAAUAGUGUUGCAGUAAACAUACAUGUGCAUGUAUCUUUAUAAUAGAAUGAUUUAUAAUCCUUUGGGUAUAUAUCCAGUAAUGGGAUUGCUGGGUCAAAUGGUAUUUCUGGUUCUAGAUCCCUGAGGAAUCACCACACUGUCUUCCACAAUGGUUGAACUAAUUUACACUCCCACCAACAGUGUAAAAAUGUUCCUACUUCUCCACAGCCUCACCAGCCUGUUUCCUGACUUUUUAAUGAUCACCAUUCUAACUGGUGUGAGAUGGUAUCUCACUGUGAUUUUGAUUUGCAUUUCUCUAACAACAAGUGAUGAGCAUUUUUUCAUAUGUUUGUUGGCUGCAUAAAUGUCUUCUUUUGAGAAGUGUCUGUUCAUAUCCUUUGCCUACUUUUUGAUGGGGUUGACAAACAAGAUUCAUUACUCCUCCUUUGAUUUGUCAAUUUGAGAAACAACUCUUCCAACAGGAUUUCCUAGUAGUACCAAGCUGCCCAAUCCCCCUGUUGGGAAGAGAUAUUAUGGUUAAAAUGGAGGCACUACUACAAUUUAAGCAUCACCCAUUGAAAUUGCUGAUAGUCAAAAAUACAGUGUUCCAGACCACAUUAAUAAAUAGGUUAACCCGCUGGCAUUGGUAUACUGGAAAACCAGGGAAGGCUAAAACAGCAGUGCCAGUCAAAAUACAUUUUAAAGACCUCAGCUAGUUUCCCAAUUGAAAAUAAUAUCCAAUUAAGCAGGAAGCAAGAAAAGGCCUAGCACCCAUAAUUGAGGUAUUACUUAUUACAUGGGCUCUUAAAAUCCUGUAAUUCCCCUUGCAAUACCUGUUCUAAAGCCUUUGGGGGAAUACCAGUUAGUAUAGGACUGGAGAAUACCGGUUAGUAUAGGACCUGAGAAUAAUUAAUGAGGCUGUUAUCCCCGUCCACCCACUGGUGGCAGAUCCAUAUACCCUUAUGGCUCAGGUACAAGGGGAUGCAAAAUGGUUCUCAGUCCUGGACCUAAAAGAUGCUUUCUUCUCCAUCCCUCUGGCCCCAGAGUCCCAAUACCUUUUUGCCUUUGAAUGGGAAAAUCAAUAUGAGGGAAAAACAGUAAUAUACCUGGACAGUGCACCCUUAGGGCAUUCAGGAUAGCCCCCAUUGGAUUGCCCGAGCCUUAGAGAGGGAUCUGAAGGAUCUGAAAGUGAAAAAUGGGAAUAUACUCCAGUAUGUGGAUGACUUUCUUGUGUGUAGCCCAAACCCAGGAGGUUUCUGACCAAACUACUAUAAAAACUUUGAAUUUCCUGGCAGACAGGGGAUACAAAGUGUCCGACAAGAAGGCACAGAUUAUCCUCCAAUGGGUGCAAUAUUUAGGGUAUGUCUUAACACCCAGAGCCUGACAAAUAUCCCCAGAACGAGAGCAAGCCAUAGGUGGUUUGCCCCCUGCCCCCUCCCCAACCCCCCCACCUGCCACACCUAGUAGCAGCUUUGUUCUUUUUUGGGAAUGGCCAGGUUUUGCAGAAUAUGGGUACCAAAUUUCAGACUCAUAGCAAAGCCCCUAUAUGAAGCAACAAAGGGGCCUGAAGACGAGCUAAAGGAAUGAACCCCAGAAUUGAGAAAAGCCUUUGCCAAGUUAAAACAGGCUCUCGCUCUUGGCAUCCCAGACCUACCUAAGCCCUUCUCUUUGUACGUAGCAGAGAAGAAGGGCAUAGCUGUGGGUGUACUAGCCCAGACAUUAGGAUCAGAACCCAGACUAACCACUGACUUUCCAAAGAAGUUGGAUGGAGUGGCCUCGAGGUGACCAAGUUGCCUGCGGCCAACAGCAGCCACUGCUAUGUUAGUGGAGGAAGCCACUGAAAUCGCUCUGAGCCAACCACUGGAAGUUCUCACCCCCUCAUCAGGUUAAGUCUGUCUUAGAGAUAAAGGGACACAUCUGGAUGACAGGGGAAAGAUGAACCAAAUACCAGGCCAUGUUCCUAGACAAUCCAGAUGUAACCCUUAAAACCUGCAACACUUUGAAUCCAGCUUCAGUGCUGCCCACAGGCCCAAUAACUGAUCAUUCCUGCAAGCAGGUCAUUGCACAUACACAAUGUUAGCCAGCCUGCUUUAAAAGACAAGCCUCUCCCAGAUUCUGAGGAUGAGUGGUUCACAGAUGGCAGUAGUUUUGUGUCAAAUGGGGUUUGACACAGCACUGAGCUGGAUAUGCAGUAGUAAUUAUCGAAGCCCAGCCACUGCUCCUUGGCACAUCAGCACAAAAGGCUGAAAUCAUUGCUCUUACUUGAGCAUUAAUGUUGGUACAAGGAAAAAAGCUUAACAUCUAUAUCGAUUCUAAAUAUGCAUUCCUUGUGGUUCAUGUUCAUGCUACAGUCUGGAAAGAAAAGGGAUUUCUAACUAGAAAACAGUCCUCUAUAAAGCCUGGGCCUGAAAUUCUUCAGCUAUUGGAAGCAAUACACUUGCCAAAGGCCGUAGCUCUAAUUAAUUGUUGGGGUAUCAAAGGGACUUAACCCCUAUAGCACAAGGGAACAGAAAGGCUGAUAAAGAACCAAAGCCGCAUCCCUCAGGGUGCCAUCCCAACAGACCCUAGCCCUACUUCCUUUCUAUGAUUUCCCAACAGAACCUGAGUACACAGUACAGAAAGAACAGUUAAUAGAGGAACAAGGGGGACACAAAAAAAGGAUCCUGGUGGCAUAUGGGGUCAAAAACAUAUCUCCCUCAGACAGCCCAGUGGAAAGUUAUAAAAGCCGUGCAUGCCUCUUUCCAUGUGGGGAGGGAUGCAACUCUGGCCAUUUAAACCAGCUCUUUACUGGGUCUAACUUAGCUUCAGUGGCUAAGCAGGUUUGCUAGGCCUGCUCCCUGUGUGCACUUAACAACCUAGGAAACAACAUGCCUCCUCUAAUAGAACCAGUGCAGAGGAGAGGAACUUAUCCAGGGGGAGACUGGCAAUUAGACUUCACCCAUAUGCCAGCUUGCAGAGGACAUGAGUUUUUGUUAGUACUAAUAGAUAUCUUUACUGGUUGGGUCGAAGUUUAUCCUACCAGAACAGAGAAGGUUAAUGAGGCUAUAAAGGUUCUCUUAAAAGAAAUAAUCCCCGGGUUUGGGUUACCUCAGAGCCUCCAAAUUGAUAAUGGCCCGUCCUUUAUCUCCCAGCUAACUCAAGGGGUUGCUAAGUCUCCUGGAAUCAAGUACUAUCUACAUUCAGCAUGAAGGCCUCGAUCCUUGGGGAAAGUAGAAAGGGCUAACCAAACUUUAAAACGAGUGUUAGCUAAGCUAUGUAAGGAAACAUCAGAAACUUGGGUCAGCUUACUGCCCAUAGCCCUCUUAAGGACCCAUAAUACCCCUACAGCAAAAAUUAAUAUAAACCCAUAUGAAAUAUUAUGUGGAAGGCCAUUCUUAACUAAUGAUUUAAUUACUGAUCCAGAAACAGUUGGUUUAGUAAAAUACCUAGUCAAUCUAGGACAGUUUCAACAGGCUUUACAAACGUUUGGAAUGCAAAGUCUCCCCACACUGGGAACAAUCAGCAACUUAAAAUCAGGUCAGGAAAUAAGGUACUUCUUAAAACAUGGAAAGAGGGAUCACCUGCUCAACAAUUACAACCCAAACGGAAGGGACUGUUUUCAGUGGCACUGGCCAUGCCUUCUGCAGUGAAAGUACUAGGAUUAGAUAGCUGGAUACAUCUUUCAAGGAUCAAGAGAGUGAUACCAGAAGCCCUGGACCAGGAACCCGAAGUUGCCAUCUGCCUCUACACCUGUGAACCUGUGGAAGACUUCAUGAAGUACCUGUUUAGAAGACAGUCAAAAGAAAAGUAAAUGCCUACCAAUUUUCCUUGGUGUCUUUGUUGCAUAGUUACUAUAGGCUGGAUAAUAGUGCCAUUUUUAAAAAUGUUUUAUUUUUGCAGUUUCAUUGCCUUCUUCCAAAUGGAUGGAAUCACUUCCUUUGUAGUAAUUAAGCAGAAUGUUUUAAUACAUUUCUAUAACAAACAUUCCUGACGGCAUAGGUAUCCACCCCCAAAGUUCCCAUUAAAUCUUUUAACCAAAUUCAUUUCCUGUUGCACAGAGACCAUCAAGCUUCAGAUGAUCAUGUGACAGGGUUUCCAGCCAGUUCCAGGUGAAGACACCACCCCUGGCCAUCAAGAAGUCACCCGGUCUCCACUAGACAGAGUAGGGUGAGAGUUCCGUGAUCUCCAACCGGUAGUGAUUAUGCCCCAAGUCAGCAUAAAGAAGUUACGGAAGAAAAACCAUCAGUCCCUCUGUCUCACAUAAAGACUUAUGGGGAUCACGUUUCUCAGAGGGGAGAUGAGGCAGGAGAAUAGGGUCUGGAGGCAGGGAACCUAAGGCCGUUUCACACUGACUUCUUAGAACUAAAUUGAAAGGAAAACCCUAAUUUUCCAUGCCUAAGUAACAAAAGGACCAGAGGCUACUCCCUUUGCAAACCCCCACCUUUUCUGUGUGGCAUAUGGGAAAUUGAAAGUACCUCUGAUUGAUUGUUUUCUGCAACCAAUCAGAUGUUUGCAUUGGAGUGUAACUUUGUAAUUUCACUUCAGUCUCUGAUUGGUUGCUGCAGUCUGGAAAUUCUGCAGGCCAAGUCUUCGUUUGCAUAGAAGUGCAACUUUGUAACUUCAUCUUAGCCUCUGAUUGGUUGCUUUCUGCAACCAAUCAGAUGUUUGCAUAGGCGUGUGACCUUUGUAACUUCACUUCAGCUUCUGAUUGGUUGCUUUCCACAACCAAUCAGACUGAUUGUGGGCCACCACUUCCUUUACGUGAGGUGAACACCAAGUGGCCAAUGGAAAACCUCAAGAGGGUAUUUGGACCUGAGAAGAUUCUGUAUCUGGGGCCCUUGAGCUGCUGCUCUGCCCACUCUCACAUGGUGGAGUGUAAUUUCACUUUGAAUAAAUCUCUGCUUUUGUUGCUUCAUUCUUUCCUUGCUUUGCUGUGUAUUUUGUCCAAUUCUUUGUUCAAAACGCCAAGAACCUGGACAACUUGCAGUCAAGACCCUCUACCAGUAACACUAGUUGUAUCCCUGUAAAUGAAUGGGCUUUGAAGAUUUUCUAGAAGAAAAAGAUCACCUCAUUGUCCUUCAUUUUUUGACAUAAAACUGUGAUAGCCCAAUAGAUAAAAUGUGAGUUAUCGAUCACCCCUGGAAAGGAUUAGGAUAUGCCACUCCAAAAUAUGCCACGUUUAUUUUGCACUGAAGGCAAUUGAGAAACAGUAGACACAGGAAGAGCUCUCUGCUUUUCCCCUUUUUACCUAAAAGCAGAGAAUAAAUUUCCUUUUGGAAAGAUGACAUACAUUUUCCUUUAUAAAGGUGUUCCCUUCUCCUCUACCAGGAAGAUCUGAGAUGGCACCAAAAUGAAUCUGCCUAACAAACCUUACUGCACAAUUCUUAGCUACCAUACAUUUCAUAGUCACCUUCCCAUAAUUUACUGCCCUUAGGAGCCCAAGUCCCUUUCCUUUGACUAUCACCUCUCCACAAUUUAUUGCCCUUUGUUAAAAUGAUAUAUAAGCUCCUUCAUUUAACUACAUCUUUGGGUUUUCACUUCUUAUCUUUGAUGCUACGAUGCAUGUAAAAAUAUUAAUAAAAUUUGUGUGCUUUUUCUCCUGUUAAUUGUAUGUCUUUUAUCAACUUAAAUUACAGGCCCCAAGUACAUAAUUAAGAGAGUAAAAGGCUGGGCACGGUGGCUGAUGCCUGUAGUCCCAGCACUUUGGGAGGCCAAGGCAGGCAGAUCACAAGGUCAGGAGAUCGAGACCAUCCUGGCUAACAUGGUGAAACCCCGUCUCUACUAAAAAAUAAAAAAAAAUUUAGCCAGGCGUGGUGGCGGGCGCCGGUAGUCUCAGCUACUCGGGAGGCUGAGGCAGGAGAAUGGCGUGAACUCGGGAGGCAGAGCUUGCAGUGAGCGGAGAUCUUGCCACUGCACUCCAGCCUGGGCAACAGAGCAAGGCUCCAUCUCAAAAAAAAAAAAAAAAAAGAGAGAGAGAGAGUAAAAGUUUUUCCUCUCCUACACCUCCUUCCCUGUUAGUCUAAAUACUAUAGCUUGGACAUAAAACUUAUCCUGAACAGUAGGCUUAUAAAUGCAACUAGCGGCCGGAUACAGUGGCUCACACCUGUAAUCCUAGCACUUUGGGAGGCCGAGGCGGGUGGAUCACCUGAGGUCAGGAGUUCAAGACCAGCCUGGCCAACAUGGAGAAACCCUGUCUCUACUAAAAAUACAAAAAUUAGCUGGGCAUGGUGGCACACAUGUGUAAUCCCAGCUACUCAGGAGGCUGAGACUGGAGAAUUGCUUGAACCCAGGAGGCAGAGGUUGCAGUAAGCCAAGAUCACUCCACUGCACUUCAGCCCGGGCAUCAGAGCAAGACUCCAACUCAAAAAUAAAUAAAAUAAAAUAAUUAAAUAAAUGCAACUCAUGGUAGAUUGGAGCCGAGGUAUGAAAAACGUUAAGCUUUAGGAUAAAUAAUGGUUCUCAGGACAUAACUUAGCUAACAUACAAGCUAUUUAUAAGCUAACAUAGAAGUUGCAACCAGAAGGGGGAUUCUUUUGGCCAGCAGAACCUGGAAAAAUGAAAGCCACAGAGGCAAAUACUAAAGUAUCACUCAGGAAAGACAAGAGUGUAGCUCUGUGACAUAGAUGGAUAUAUUCUAAUCAUAAAACUAAUUUUACUUCUUCCAAAUUUAUGCCCACAAACCAACUUUCUGCUUUUUUCUUGUCUCGUAUGCAUUUUUUAACUUAAUAAUCUUUAAACACUUUUAUAAGAGUUUUUAUAUUCUGCAUAGAAACACUUUGUUAGCUAUAUGAAUUGCAAAUAUUGCUUUAUCAAAAGAUUCCUAGAGUCAUGAAAGAAAGCAAACAAAGUGCUAAUAUUGUGGUUCAUUGCUUCACUUAUAAGAUAAAAUGCAUACCAUUUAUCAAUCUAUAAACAAUGUCUCAAUUUGAGGUUGAAUGUUAGAGUUUACCCGGUAAUCUAGUAUUUCUCUAGAAAUGUCAAAAAAAAGGGCAAAAUUAUAUAGUACAGAGGAGUGAGUGGCUGGAGGUUGUCUAGACAAGGUACCCACUGGAUGCCAUUAUCUUGGUGAAAAAGAGAAAGAGAAAAGCAGUCACUGACAUGAGGAGUUGGCCUGGUUCUUACAGAUAGGACUUGGCAUUCUCCUGUCAAAUAUAAGCAAUUUCACAGAACAUGAACAUUAGACAACGCCGUGUUGUGAUGUUGAUGUAGCAAGACGAAAACACUGUAACCCUCUGUAAUCAUGUCUCAACAAUCCACUACAACCCGAAUGUGGUCCAAACCACAAAAUAACCAAACAUCCUCUGUCUUGCCUAAGAGUAGUGACUGCUGCCUCUUUAGCAAUCACAACUUAAGCCUCAGACUAGUCUGCCCUCCUUCUAGAUAAGAGUUAUUAGAUAUCUAAUUUUAAGAAUUACCCCCUGCUUCCUGACAGCAUUUGAUCCAGAGCAAAGCUCCACCUCUUUAAAACGCUCCCCAAACCACAAAACACAAGCUCAAUUCUUAUAAAUUUCUUUCCAAUCCCCUCUUACUGAGAUGUCCCAUCGUUCCUCAUAGUGUGCGUUCUCCCUUGCUGCAACAAGGAAAUAAACCCAACUAUAGUUGUGUUCCUGGUGGUCUUUAGCUGAAGAGCAUUGACACUGCAGAAUCCAGGAGAAUCCAGGACAAUUCAAGAGCUGGAGACAGCUUACUUGUCAGGACACUAAAAAUAGACCUAUCUCUCAAGGGUGAAUUUGUAUUAGCCACAGACACAGAAACUGAUGGAUAAGUAACAUUACUAAUUUGUUAAUUAAUAAAAAUGAAAUAAAGCCCUGGAAGAGUCAGAAAAGACAAAUGUAUAGAGUGAGAAAGUAGAUGAAUGGUUUCCUGAAGGUGGGUGUGGAAAGGGGAAUUAAAUGUUAAAGGGCAUGAGUGGUCUUAUUGGGGU